Molecule: ribosomal RNA, 268 nt
Filed under: uncultured bacterium
Lineage: Bacteria
Description: partial 16S ribosomal RNA
Rfam family: Bacterial small subunit ribosomal RNA
Source: RNAcentral
UGUCGGCGACCGGCGCACGGGUGCGAACGUUCGUAUGCAACCUACCCAUUACAGGGGGAUAACACUGAGAAAUCGGUACUAAUACCCCAUAACAUCCAGGGAGGCAUCUUCUUGGGUUGAAAACUCCGGUGGUAAUGGAUGGGCAUGCGUUGUAUUAGUUAGUUGGUGGGGUAACGGCUCACCAAGACAACGAUACAUAGGGGGACUGAGAGGUUAACCCCCCACAUUGGUACUGAGACACGGACCAAACUCCUACGGGAGGCAGCAG